GCCUCUGUAGCUCAGUUGGUUAGAGCACUGCACCAGAAUCGCAGGGCCGUAGGUUCAAUUCCUACCAGAAGAA
RNAcentral lists this transfer RNA (73 nucleotides) under Paramuricea clavata. It matches the Rfam family "tRNA". Rfam says of the family: Transfer RNA (tRNA) molecules are approximately 80 nucleotides in length. Their secondary structure includes four short double-helical elements and three loops (D, anti-codon, and T loops). Lineage: Eukaryota; Metazoa; Cnidaria; Anthozoa; Malacalcyonacea; Plexauridae. The record is from Rfam by way of RNAcentral.